Molecule: ribosomal RNA, 268 nt
Filed under: uncultured prokaryote
Description: partial 16S ribosomal RNA
Rfam family: Bacterial small subunit ribosomal RNA
Source: RNAcentral
UACGUAGGGGGCUAGCAUUAUCCGGAUUUACUGGGCGUAAAGGGUGCGUAGGUGGUUUCUUAAGUCAGAGGUGAAAGGCUACGGCUCAACCGUAGUAAGCCUUUGAAACUGGGAAACUUGAGUGCAGGAGAGGAGAGUGGAAUUCCUAGUGUAGCGGUGAAAUGCUUAGAUAUGACGCAGAACUCCGAUUGCGAAGGCAGCUUACUGGGAUGCAACUGACGCUGAGGCACGAAAGCGUGGGUAUCAAACAGGAUUAGAUACCCGUGUA